GCUACCUCUCCACCUGCAAGUCUUUGCUCCACUAUUUCCCCCUUGGCGCCGGGCAUCGCAGCCUCAGGUCAGCCCUCAAACUCUACUGGGAGGCAGUUCCAACCCGUCCUACAGUCCUUCCAGCCAGCCUGCACUCCGCAGGUGUUAGUGACCCAUGGUCUUUUAUGUCCUGCAGGGCCCAGCAAAGGACUAAGCAUGCACAGCAGGGGACAUGGGACCUGCCGAGACCUGUUCCUAGCCCGGGGUCAGGCCCCGAAACACCAGCCAAAGGUGAACAGUACAGGAGAGUCAUCACCUUGUGCAGACAGGCCAACAAGGCAAGGAAGUGCUGGUCACCCCAGCGUUGCCUCUGGCCCAGCACGACACCCCGCCACACCCAGGCCUCCUCCUGUGCCUUCAAGGGCCACGCAGCCAUAACCCUGGGGCUGCAACAGGAAGGACUGGGCGCCGGUCAGUGAGCCACAAUGAGAUGGGGUGAGCGCCCAACCAGGACAGACACACGAGGCAGAGGCGGAGCGAGGGGAGCUGGUGGGGAUGGCCAGUAAGGAAAGCCUAACACAUUUAGAAGGCGGCUUCUAAAGUCAAACCCUGCAUGGGACUGAACUGGUUUCUGGGAUUUUCUUCUUCAGAGCUAACAUCUGCAGGCAGGCCUCGUCUGCCCCAUCCCCGUCCCGGGGGACCACCUCCCGGAAGGUCAGCCGCUCGCCCGGGGGCUUCACUAUCCAUGAGCUUACUCCUCCCUCCCACAGGGGGCAGGGACAGAAUCCGGGGCGCCCGGCAGAGGUCCGCGCGCCCUGGCCCUGCGCCUCCUUUCUGACGUCCGGGCCCCAUAUUCCCGGGCGCAGGCGGACCGUGACCCCGUCCGACCGGGACAGUCAUGGAGGAAACGCGCGGGAGAGGGCGCAGAACUUGGAGACUGCGGAGGCGCAGCGCGGGGAAAUGACCGGGACCGCCUCCCCACCGGCCGCGGCGCCCGCAGUGCCAGGUCUCCCCUCCAGGGGCGUCAGGGCCGCCGAACGCCCUACAGGGCCCGGAUCCUGCAUCCGAUCCAAACUCACCCCUCCGGCCACUGCGCGGACAGGCGCAGGGACGCGGGAGCCCCGGGCCCGCCCCGCAGGACCAAGGACCCAGGCUCGCCCUGCCCGCCCUGGCGCGCCCACCGAGGGGACGCGGAGCUGACGAUCGCGGGGCCACGAGGGGACUUGCCCUACCCCGCAGAUGUCUGGGGGGCGGACAUCUCCCCGGCACCAUGAAACCUUUGGAGACCCCAGCCUCCCAACCCCAGCCACGUGGCCAGCCCUCCCUUCUCAGGUGCCCCGGGCUGGGCCACGUGGCCCGUGACCACCCCACCACCUCGCCGGGGGCCUGUGAGGAGGAACCCAAUGCCCCGAAGUCACAACCCCCAGCCCCUCACCCCGCCUUUCCCUCCCACCCCACACCCCCAACCUCUGAGGCGCCCCCUGCGGCUUCCCCUUGCUACCCCCCGGGUCUCAGACCUCCAGACAUGGUGAUUUGGGUCUCUUCUGGUGACCCAAGGCAGCGUGUUUAACCUCCUCUAAGCCUGGUGAGAAGGUCGAGGCAGUGACCCAGCAGGUGACAGGAUAAGGAGGAGGGAAGGCAUGUCCUCAGCCAUCCAGAUUUUAAAGAGGAGGAAUGUCCUAAUGAAUAAUAAUUAGUUGUUAGGUAAUCACACCUAACAUUUAUUGAGUGCUUACUAUGUGCUGAGCUCCUUUCCCGCAUUAACACACUUAAUCUUCACCAGUAUUCUAUACGGCCCGGUUUCAUCCCAUUUUUACAGAUGAGGAAACUGAGCAAGAGAAACCAGAAGUUGCAGGCUGAGUGGCACACGCUGCUGGGUGAGAGGCGGGAAUCCGCAGGGCCGGCAGCUCUGGCCACUGCACUCACUGCCCUUUUCUCCUUCCUGCUCUGUGAGGUCACCCGCCCGUGGCUCUAGGAUGGCCUGCUGAAUCCUUCCCUGUCAGCAGCUGACCUCACCCCUCCCCACCUGAUCUGUCACCUCCUGUCCCUCCCUCUCCCUGGGCAAACCUCCCCCAUUCUCCAUCCCACCCCUCACAGCUUCAGCCAGGGGAUUCCCAGGCACCAAGAGGGAAAGGGGCUCGGGGACCCUGCUCCUCGACAGAGGGCCCGGGGAAUGAUGUUUUGGUGAAUUCACUUUUCCUUCGGCUUUUGAAAGGUCUAGGUUCCUCAUUCCCAGAGCCCAUGGUUCCCGAACUGGUCACCUGAGAGUCACCUGGGUCUCUAGUCACCCUGGUCAGCUAGCCAAGGCCCAGCCCUGUCCGCCUGCUGGAGGCUGGCCCCCAGGGCGCUCUGUCAGCUCUCCAGGGGCUUCUGGGACCACUCAAGCUUGAGAGGCACUGUUUAGGCAGCUGAGUUAAUUUGGUGUUUUUGUGAACACUGUCAGUUGCCACUAGUUACCAGUCCACGGACAAACCUCUUUCCUUAAUGACUCAGGCAGUGAAGACCUUCCAGAAACUGCUAGUCUAUGGAAAAGACACUCCCAGGUCUGGCCAGCCGGGUCAUGGGUGGGCUGCUUCACCUCUGUGUCCAGGUGGGGGGCAGAGCCCCUCAGGAACCCUCCCACCCACUCGCAUGUCCCCGCAGGCCUGUGGACAGCCUUUCCUGGGAGAGGGCACUGUCCCUAAUGUGCGGCACAUGCCCUGAGGGGGCGCCCUCAGCUGGUUAGGACGAGGUGGCCAACUGACGGAUCCCUGGGGGAGAUUAUGGCUGCACAGGCAAGUGGGUGGGGUCUGGUGGGGGGGGGACCGUUCGAGAAAGUCAUUCACCAAGAAAGAAGAGAGGUAACUGAGAGAAUUCUCUGUGCUCUGAGCUCAUCUUCCAUGACAGCACGUGAGUGACCGCUCUCUGAGUUGCUGGAGGUGGUGUGGUGUGUCCACGAGGACUCUGGGCCUUGGAAAAUGACCAUGAUUUUGGUGACCUUGUGUCAGCGCUCAGUAAUUUUUUUGAAAAAGCUUUCCAUUUGGACAUAGUGA
Long non-coding RNA from Equus caballus (horse), 3011 nucleotides. RefSeq lists it as uncharacterized. Lineage: Eukaryota; Metazoa; Chordata; Mammalia; Perissodactyla; Equidae. The record is from RefSeq and is a predicted model, not a curated record.